AGCCCCGAGGUGUUAAACACAUAAGAUUGCAAAUCUUAAGUAGCCAAUUGAUUUUUGCCGGGGCUU
Molecule: transfer RNA, 66 nt
Filed under: Hippocampus abdominalis (big-belly seahorse)
Lineage: Eukaryota; Metazoa; Chordata; Actinopteri; Syngnathiformes; Syngnathidae
Description: tRNA-Cys
Source: RNAcentral